UUGAUGUUCUAACGUUGGCCCGUUAUCCGGGUUGCGGACAGUGUCUGGUGGGUAGUUUGACUGGGGCGGUCUCCUCCUAAAGAGUAACGGAGGAGCACGAAGGUUGGCUAAUCCUGGUCGGACAUCAGGAGGUUAGUGCAAUGGCAUAAGCCAGCUUGACUGCGAGCGUGACGGCGCGAGCAGGUGCGAAAGCAGGUCAUAGUGAUCCGGUGGUUCUGAAUGGAAGGGCCAUCGCUCAACGGAUAAAAGGUACUCCGGGGAUAACAGGCUGAUACCGCCCAAGAGUUCAUAUCGACGGCGGUGUUUGGCACCUCGAUGUCGGCUCAUCACAUCCUGGGGCUGAAGUAGGUCCCAAGGGUAUGGCUGUUCGCCAUUUAAAGUGGUACGCGAGCUGGGUUUAGAACGUCGUGAGACAGUUCGGUCCCUAUCUGCCGUGGGCGCUGGAGAACUGAGGGGGGCUGCUCCUAGUACGAGAGGACCGGAGUGGACGCAUCACUGGUGUUCGGGUUGUCAUGCCAAUGGCACUGCCCGGUAGCUAAAUGCGGAAGAGAUAAGUGCUGAAAGCAUCUAAGCACGAAACUUGCCCCGAGAUGAGUUCUCCCUGACUCCCUGAGAGUCCUGAAGGAACGUUGAAGACGACGACGUUGAUAGGCCGGGUGUGUAAGCGCAGCGAUGCGUUGAGCUAACCGGUACUAAUGAACCGUGAGG
This 708-nucleotide ribosomal RNA is filed under the name Escherichia coli. RNAcentral describes it as "partial 23S ribosomal RNA". It matches the Rfam family "Bacterial large subunit ribosomal RNA", at positions 2214 to 2916 of the family's 2925-position model. Lineage: Bacteria; Pseudomonadati; Pseudomonadota; Gammaproteobacteria; Enterobacterales; Enterobacteriaceae. The record is from RNAcentral.